GACGAACGCUGGCGGCGUGCUUAACACAUGCAAGUCGUACGGUAAGGCCCUUUCGGGGGUACACGAGUGGCGAACGGGUGAGUAACACGUGAGUAACCUGCCCACAACUUUGGGAUAACGCUAGGAAACUGGUGCUAAUACUGGAUAUGUGCCCCUGCUGCAUGGUGGGGGUUGGAAAGCUCCGGCGGUUGUGGAUGGACUCGCGGUCUAUCAGCUUGUUGGUGGGGUAGUGGCCUACCAAGGCGGCGACGGGUAGCCGGCCUGAGAGGGUGACCGGCCACAUUGGGACUGAGAUACGGCCCAGACUCCUACGGGAGGCAGCAGUGGGGAAUAUUGCACAAUGGGCGCAAGCCUGAUGCAGCAACGCCGCGUGCGGGAUGACGGCCUUCGGGUUGUAAACCGCUUUCAGCAGGGACGAAGCUUUUUGUGACGGUACCUGCAGAAGAAGCACCGGCUAACUACGUG
RNAcentral lists this ribosomal RNA (465 nucleotides) under uncultured bacterium. Its description in RNAcentral is "partial 16S ribosomal RNA". It matches the Rfam family "Bacterial small subunit ribosomal RNA", at positions 28 to 507 of the family's 1533-position model. The record is from RNAcentral.